Non-coding RNA from Meleagris gallopavo (turkey), 640 nucleotides. NCBI's taxonomy places the organism in Eukaryota, Metazoa, Chordata, Aves, Galliformes, Phasianidae. The record is from RefSeq and is a predicted model, not a curated record.
AAAAUAACUGUUAUUUCCUUUUUCAGCUGCUCUAAACGUUCACAUAAGAAAACUGUUGUUUUCUUGCUGUCUUACAAGAAGAUCUCAGCCUGAAUGGUUUUCAACCAGGACUUAAUUACAAAUAGCAAGAAAAAAAUCCAUGGGAGGAGAGAGCUUAUUUGGAGACUUCGCAUGAUCUACCAGGCAGAUUUUCUGAUGCGUCGUCUUUCUCAUCAGAAAGAACUUUGUAGGUGCCAAGGAGCUUUUCUUGCAGCCUUCUUACUGCUUAAAUGGCUUACUGUCCAUAAAAAACAAACAAACAAAAACAAACAAACAAAAACAAAACAAACAACAAAAAAAAACAACCUGCUGGUAGGUCUGUGGAAGAACAAGUUGUUCAUUCUUUUGUUGAUCCUGACUUCUUUCAUCAAUGAAGAAACUUCACAGAAUGGCUCACAGAGAAAUUCUGCUGCUGUUGGGAUCUUUCUGACCAUCUCCCACUUGAGAAUCUUGGUGCGUGUAGAAAUAGCUGAGAAAUCAAAGAGUGAACUUGGUAAUAUCUGAGUUGACUUUGCAUAAUAUAUCUGUAAAAACGUAUUGUAGCUGUUACUAUGGCGCAAAAUAAAACAGUGCACAUAAGAGGUUUUCACCUUAGAGCAAA